UACAGAGGUGCCAAGCGUUAGGCGGAAUCACUGGGCUUAAAGCGCGUGUAGGCGGGUCGUUAAGUGUCCGAGUGAAAUCCCACGGCUCAACCGUGGAACUGCCGGGCAUACUGGCGAUCUUGAGGCAUUAAGGGGCGAGCGGAACAAAUGGUGGAGCGGUGAAAUGCGUAGAUAUCAUUUGGAACGCCAAUGGUGAAAACAGCUCGCUGGGAAUGAUCUGACGCUGAGACGCGAAAGCCAGGGGAGCGAACGGG
This 254-nucleotide ribosomal RNA is filed under the name uncultured bacterium. RNAcentral's name for it is "partial 16S ribosomal RNA". It matches the Rfam family "Bacterial small subunit ribosomal RNA", at positions 524 to 776 of the family's 1533-position model. The record is from RNAcentral.